Quercus robur (English oak) is the source of this 734-nucleotide long non-coding RNA. RefSeq lists it as uncharacterized. The record is from RefSeq and is a predicted model, not a curated record. NCBI's taxonomy places the organism in Eukaryota, Viridiplantae, Streptophyta, Magnoliopsida, Fagales, Fagaceae. The transcript is spliced from 2 exons.
UUCCAUAAAAAAAAAAGGCAGAACUUUUUUUUUCCCCCUAGUUUCAAAUUCCCUAUAGUUUCUAAGCUAUCUCCAGAAGGUCUUAAGCUUGUAACCCUUUCCAAAUUCCAAUCCUGGCUCAAAUCAUUGUAUCUACUGUUACUUCCUGAGUAUUUAUCAAUCUUGGGAAAAGUUUUAGUAGGGGAGUGGGGUCUACAGUGAUAUAUAGAGUUGGGCUUGCUGGGAUUAAGGGAGGCAUAGCAAUUGCUGGGAUUGGAAUCAUGUUGUGAAUAGGGAAAAAAGAGUUUGGGUUUGUUGGUUUGUGAGUAUGGUGGGUUUUCAUUGAGGAAUCUUUGGGUUUUUAGAUGCGAUGCGAUGCUUUGCUGUUGGUUUGUCAUGGGUCUGAUCGAGGAGGAGCUGGUAGAAGAGGAAGGCAGGGAAUAGAUGGCAGAGCAUUGUGAAAGCGAAAGAUAGAGCAUCGGGAGGCAAACAUCGUGAAAGGGUGUCUUUUAUUACGUUUUUUUUUUUUUUUUUUUUAAUGUUUUUUUUAAUAUUAUGCUAACGUGGAAAUUUGUGGGAGUUUCAAAAGUUUCGGUUUUAUAUUGAUAUAUUGAUGAGUUGAAAAUGUAAGAGACUUUUUAAUGUUCAGUAGUUUAGCAUCAUCAUGGUGGCAAUGUGGCAUUUGUACAUGGUUCAAUCCAAAAUGUAUCCAAAAAAAAGAAAAUCCAAAAUAAUAAGUUUUUUUUAUUAUUUUU